UCACUUUUUCACUGUCUCUCUCCCACUCCUAUCCCUUCGGUGGCUGUGCUGGGCCAAAGCUGCAGCAGCUUACUGGCAGAGCUGAUUGGCCAUGACCACGUGAGGGAAUCCUUGUACAGCUGCUGCGAGGCCUCCAGGCUGGCAGCAUAUUUUCUGACAAGCCAGAGCAGUUCUACCACGCUGCAGGAAGUGCUGUUCUUUGCAGGGUGAUCUUGCACUUGGAGAAGAUGGAUAGACAACAUUUUGGGCUGAAGUUAAUGUAGAUUCAGAGACACUAAAUAAGAAAUACGCUUUUAAUAAGCAAUGGUGUUAGUUUUUCUGAAUGCUCUGGAACAAGAAUAACAUCACACUGUUAAAAGAAUGAGACUAGUGUACCAGAAGGUGUUGUUAGAGGGCACAGUACAGAGGAAAGAUCAGAACUCAACAGGCAAUGGAAAACAGGAACAAGUUUCAGGUAAUACACACCUGCACCAUACUCCACAAAUAUCAAUGCAUUUUCUUAGUCUUGCCCACCUUAAAAAGCUGUAUAUUCUUAUCUGCCAAGUCCUUCAACAGAUAAGAUUUCCUCUUCAAGACGUGAUGGAGCCAAGUGCACGCUCUGGCUCUCUUCACUUGGUUUGCAACAAAGGCAUUCAUAAAUGCUGGGAGAAAGAUGAGUUGGUGCUGUAGCUCAGCUUCCUGGUGUUUCAGCCUCCUCCUCCCAGCAGCCUUUGCAGAGCUGUUCUGUUGCUGUCCACGCUGAGAGUGCACAGCUGGUACUCAGGAUUCCAAUUCAAGAAGGCAGUAUCAGCUUCUGACUUUAUUUUUUCCCUCUGUAGUCUUUACAUGUUACUUUCUAGAGAGAAUGGCAGUUUUGAAGUGAAAUCAACAUAUUUCCCUUUUGUAAUCCAUAUAUUUACAAGGCUUUUUAAAUAAAUUCUUUCCUUUAAACAGAUGAUAGCAAACUAUGACCUAACCCAGCUGACUGGCACCCAAAAUGAAUCCUUGUUUAGCUUAUCUAGCACAGUUUUAAGCUGAUUACAUGCACUCUGGAGAUCUUCUUUCACCAGCGUAGUGUCAAUUAAAUGGCCAUAGUGCUCUUCGAUGAAUGCUGC
This 1094-nucleotide long non-coding RNA is filed under the name Gallus gallus (chicken). RNAcentral describes it as "long non-coding RNA NONGGAT005529". Lineage: Eukaryota; Metazoa; Chordata; Aves; Galliformes; Phasianidae. The record is from RNAcentral.